CGCGGGAUGGAGCAGUUGGUAGCUCGUCGGGCUCAUAACCCGAAGGUCAGAGGUUCAAGUCCUCUUCCCGCAA
Selenomonas sputigena ATCC 35185 is the source of this 73-nucleotide transfer RNA. It matches the Rfam family "tRNA". From Rfam's summary of the family: Transfer RNA (tRNA) molecules are approximately 80 nucleotides in length. Lineage: Bacteria; Bacillati; Bacillota; Negativicutes; Selenomonadales; Selenomonadaceae. The record is from Rfam.